UUUCUUCCAGUUCAGGUCCAGGAGUGAGAGGUGAGGUUUUUCCUGUUCCCUGACAGCACAUAGACACCACUUUAGAUGGUCUAAAUCAGCAUAGCUCUGAGCCCAAGUCUCCUGCAAGUGAUGAGCCAAAUGCCAUGCCAGCCAGAGCUAUGGGAACAGGCUCUGCUUGGAGAGAACACCCACUCACAUGGGCGGCCUUUUCUGAGAACCGGAAGAUAUGAGGAGAGAAGCAGUCUGCUACCUGAGAUGAUGUGCCCAAAGAUGAGGUACUUUUUUACUCUUCCAUAAUGUAAAUAUUAACUAGGGUGGCCUGGUUGGGUUGCCAAAGUGCAUAUUUUAAUGACUGUGUGCUUUCUUCUGCUUGGCCUCCUUUAUGGAAAAUGGAGAUGUAGGAGGACAGUGAAGAGAGGUAUCAUGGGGGGCAGAUUGAGCUAAGAAGGAAAUCAUGAGGGGCAUUUCAUACAGUUCUAUUGGAUGUUCCAGUAUGGGAGGUGAUUUUGAGAGCACGAUGGAAGCCUCAGCCACUGCAAAUGUUUCAUGCAGUCUUGAGUAAAACAAUAUGGAACAGAACUCCUCUGAUUUUGUAGUUCAAAAUGACAGAGCCAUUUUCCAUUUGCUUAUGUUCCCUGGAAGGGUGCCUUUUCUAGACAGAAACAGUUAUGCAUGUACUUCCUUCCAAAGAGGACUUUGCUGGUCUUUUCUAAAAAAUUUGGUAUUUCAUGGUGUUUAUCCACAGUGAUUUCCAGAUAUAUCAGUAAAUUUCAAACAGUCUCAGAGACAAUACCUUGCUUUUCACUGGAGAUGUGUAUUGCUGUUUCCUACUUCCUGAAUCCCUUUAAACACUGUGAAAUUCUCAGCACAAUAAAAAGUGAUGCUUUUGAAAUAUUUUCCUUAGCUGAGGUCUGUAUCUUCCACUGAUGUGAGAGGUAUUUUGUCUAUAUGGGGGAAAGAUGAGGCAGGACCUUUAACUCAAAAAUUACUCUCUUUAAAAAGCAGUGCUGCAAACCUCCCUAGAAUCACUGAAAAUAAUAAGGAAAAUAUCUUGCAUGGAGUAACUUAGUAUUAAUUUGUAAAAAUAAAGUAAUUUAGCCAGCAUGUUAAGCAAUAUUCUGUUAUUUCUAGUAAAAUAACUGAUGAGGGACUUCAGAUAUCCUAGAGAGCACUAUUAAACAGAAAAUUCUGCAGAAUUCUGCCUUCAUUUACAAAUCCAGGCUGAUUUCUGAGACCUCUCCAUGCACAUCCUAUGAGAGCUUGAUGUUAAUCAAUACUGGAUGAAAAAGAUUUGAUUUGUAAACAGAAGGCUUAGUGAUCAAAAGUAACAUGUUAGGGAAGAAACACUUUUGCUAACUGUUAUGUAUUGUGCUCUUUAUUUCCUAUUUUAUUUUUAGUGGUCUGAACAACAUGAUAUUAAAAUGCUGACAUGUGUCUUCCCCCCUUCUGGUCAUCUGAUCUCAAACAAUUGUUCGAAUCCUGAAAAAGAGGUUGCUUUAUUAUUAUUUUUGUUCUUUCACAUGAUGAGAAAUCCUCCUGAGCAGAGAGUUGGUAUCUGUGGAAAGCAUCUGACUUCUGAACAGAUUGUGGGUUAAAGGAGUCAAAGGAGUCACUUGGACGAUACAAAUAAGUAUUCAUUUAUUAUAUGCAAAUAUAACAGGUUGACAUAAAACCCAUGACUUCACUCAA
Taeniopygia guttata (zebra finch) is the source of this 1680-nucleotide non-coding RNA. The record is from RefSeq and is a predicted model, not a curated record. NCBI's taxonomy places the organism in Eukaryota, Metazoa, Chordata, Aves, Passeriformes, Estrildidae.